CAUAUUCUAAAUUAUCUGAAAAUUAAGCCUUGUGAUUGUUUUUACAUUUGUAUUUUUAACAGUUUGGAUUGCAAGAGCCUCUAAUAUUUUUAAUCCCUAUUUCCUUGAGAAGACGCUCAAUAAAGAUACCUGAGGUAUUGAAAAAGGAUACUGGUCACAACAGAAAGGCAAGGAGAAACCCAGAUGGAAACAGAUACCGAAGAAGAGUCCAAAUCUCUCCACAUGUUGAUCCAUCUCACUCAUCAUGCUCUCUAUAUCACAUCCAAAAUGAAGAACUCUUCUGCAGAGAUCACUUCAGGAAGUCUUCUAGAAAGAAAAUAAAAUCAAGUACACACAAGAAGAGACUACCAGAAAGAUAUGUGCUCUGUUCUCAGUCUAGUGAAAAGUGAUAAAAAAAAGAUGUAGAUCUGCAGUUUCCGACAGGACAGCUUAUUCACACCAAGCUGAAGGAAAGUUAGGUUUGUACUGUGGGUGCUUUGGAUGGACAUGGACUCUGGGAGGAUUCCAUUACAAACAUACAAUCAAACAAGCAAAAGUAUAGCUAUUUCCACUGGAAUUCUUGAGAUGCAGUUCUGGGGAGAAGGUUAUAUUACAUGAAUGCGGCUUUUACACAGACACUGUUUUAGAAGUGUGGUUCAAAGACCUGCCAUGUGGAAACAAAUACAAGCAGAGCUCAACUACUGAUGGGUGCUAAAGGAUGAAAUAAGUCUUGUAGGACUGGAAAGUCCAGAAGCCUGCAUAAGAAGGUCACCACUUGUCAGAAGUGGAUUUAAGUUCCUCUGUUUUGUUGUAAGAUGCUGUUUUCUAAGAAUUUAUGCAGUGGUUUAUUAAAGAGGAAGAAAACAUAUGUGGCUACUCUUGCUGUUCGUGAAGGGUACAGUGACAAGCUGUGGCCUAAUCAGAGGUUCACACACGCCUGAG
This 921-nucleotide long non-coding RNA is filed under the name Gallus gallus (chicken). RNAcentral describes it as "lncRNA (ENSGALG00010009061.1)". Lineage: Eukaryota; Metazoa; Chordata; Aves; Galliformes; Phasianidae. The record is from RNAcentral.